UGGGGAAUCUUGCACAAUGGGGGCAACCCUGAUGCAGCGACGCCGCGUGAACGAUGAAGCCCUUCGGGGUGUAAAGUUCUUUCGACAGGAACGAUAAUGACGGUACCUGGAGAAGAAGCUGCGGCUAACUACGUGCCAGCAGCCGCGGUAAUACGUAGGCAGCGAGCGUUGUUCGGAGUUACUGGGCGUAAAGAGUGCGUAGGCGGUUGGUCAAGUUUGGUGUGAACUCUCCCGGCUCAACUGGGAGGGUGCGCCGAAAACUGGCCGACUUCGAGUAUGGGAGAGGAAAGCGGAAUUCCGGGUGUAGCGGUGAAAUGCGUAGAUAUCAGGAGGAACACCUGUGGUGUAGACAGCUUUCUGGACCAAAACUGACGCUGAGGCACGAAAGCGUGGGGAGCAAACA
This 403-nucleotide ribosomal RNA is filed under the name uncultured prokaryote. Its description in RNAcentral is "bacterial SSU rRNA". It matches the Rfam family "Bacterial small subunit ribosomal RNA", at positions 355 to 774 of the family's 1533-position model. The record is from RNAcentral.